GCUAGUCCAAUUUCAAGGUCUACGAGCAUGGUGCCUUUAAUCUCUAACUGUUUAGUACACCAUAUUGUCGAGAUCGGUACCAGACAUGUGCUAACCUGGAAAGUCGUUGGGCGGAAAUUCUGAAUGUCUUCGAAAAUGACUCGAUCUUUGAGGAUAGGAUGACGAAAUACAGCAGAGAAACUAUUGAAGAUGAAAGGGUAACGUUUGUUAAAGGAGCAGGAGUACAAGAUUUUUUUCAAGGGAGGGAGUCUACUUUUCGCCCCUCGGUUAUUGGAAUGGGCACUCACCUGUUCACCCCCGUUUCCUUCAGUGCCACCUCCGUCCACGCCCCUACUCCAUCAAGGUGUGUCUCCUAACUUAUUACUCAGACCUUCAAGUCUCCAACCGGUAUUAGGCAAUGCUGGCAUGGCUACAGAUAAAACUUUCGCGCAGGUAUGUGUAACUCGAGAUAA
This is a long non-coding RNA of Patiria miniata (bat star), 452 nucleotides long. RefSeq lists it as uncharacterized. The record is from RefSeq and is a predicted model, not a curated record. The transcript is spliced from 3 exons. Lineage: Eukaryota; Metazoa; Echinodermata; Asteroidea; Valvatida; Asterinidae.